GAUGAACGCUGGCGGCGUGCCUAAUACAUGCAAGUCGAGCGAACAGACGAGGAGCUUGCUCCUCUGACGUUAGCGGCGGACGGGUGAGUAACACGUGGAUAACCUACCUAUAAGACUGGGAAAACUUCGGGAAACCGGAGCUAAUACCGGAUAAUAUAUUGAACCGCAUGGUUCAAUAGUGAAAGACGGUUUUGCUGUCACUUAUAGAUGGAUCCGCGCCGCAUUAGCUAGUUGGUAAGGUAACGGCUUACCAAGGCAACGAUGCGUAGCCGACCUGAGAGGGUGAUCGGCCACACUGGAACUGAGACACGGUCCAGACUCCUACGGGAGGCAGCAGUAGGGAAUCUUCCGCAAAGGGCGAAAGCCUGACGGAGCAACGCCGCGUGAGUGAUGAAGGUCUUCGGAUCGUAAAACUCUGUUAUUAGGGAAGAACAAAUGUGUAAGUAACUAUGCACGUCUUGACGGUAACUAAUCAGAAAGCCACGGCUAACUACGUG
RNAcentral lists this ribosomal RNA (497 nucleotides) under uncultured bacterium. RNAcentral describes it as "partial 16S ribosomal RNA". It matches the Rfam family "Bacterial small subunit ribosomal RNA", at positions 28 to 507 of the family's 1533-position model. The record is from RNAcentral.